RNAcentral lists this transfer RNA (80 nucleotides) under Colletotrichum fructicola Nara gc5. Its description in RNAcentral is "tRNA-Tyr for anticodon GUA". The record is from RNAcentral. Lineage: Eukaryota; Fungi; Ascomycota; Sordariomycetes; Glomerellales; Glomerellaceae.
CUCCCCUUGGUGUAGUUGGUUUCAUCACGUUCGACUGUAAUGGUUACGAAAGGUCUCUAGUUCGAUUCUGGAAGGGGAGA